This 354-nucleotide RNase P RNA is filed under the name Corynecladia elata. RNAcentral describes it as "RnpB". It matches the Rfam family "Bacterial RNase P class A", at positions 43 to 351 of the family's 367-position model. From Rfam's summary of the family: Ribonuclease P (RNase P) is a ubiquitous endoribonuclease, found in archaea, bacteria and eukarya as well as chloroplasts and mitochondria. Its best characterised activity is the generation of mature 5'-ends of tRNAs by cleaving the 5'-leader elements of precursor-tRNAs. The record is from RNAcentral. Lineage: Eukaryota; Rhodophyta; Florideophyceae; Ceramiales; Rhodomelaceae.
GAGGAAAGUCCGGGCUCUAUUUAUAAACAAUUUGUUGUAUAAUAUAUAAUGUAGGAAACUAUGAGGAAAGUGCCACAGAAAUAUACCGCCUUAUUUAAGGUAAGGGUGCAAUGGUUCGUUAAGAGCGUACCAGGAAUAUUGUCAAAAUAUUUGCUAGGUAAACCCCGUUUUAGAGCAAAGUGAUUGGUGUAGAUAAAUGGAUAAUAUAUUUAUAAGCUUCAUUUAUGUAACAUUCUAUAUUAAAUAAUUUAUGAUACUGCAUCAAGUAAAAGUUUUACUUCAGAUUAAUAAUUACCCUUGCUAUAUUGUUCAUUACUUUAUGUUUAUUUGGAUCAAGAACAAAACCCGGCUUAU